Molecule: ribosomal RNA, 258 nt
Filed under: uncultured bacterium
Lineage: Bacteria
Description: partial 16S ribosomal RNA
Rfam family: Bacterial small subunit ribosomal RNA
Source: RNAcentral
UACGAAGGGGGCUAGCGUUGUUCGGAAUCACUGGGCGUAAAGCGCACGUAGGCGGAUCUUUAAGUCAGGGGUGAAAUCCCGAGGCUCAACCUCGGAACUGCCUUUGAUACUGGGGAUCUCGAGUUCGGGAGAGGUGAGUGGAACUGCGAGUGUAGAGGUGAAAUUCGUAGAUAUUCGCAAGAACACCAGUGGCGAAGGCGGCUCACUGGCCCGAUACUGACGCUGAGGUGCGAAAGCGUGGGAGCAACAGGGAUUAAG